Syngnathoides biaculeatus (alligator pipefish) is the source of this 382-nucleotide long non-coding RNA. RefSeq lists it as uncharacterized. The record is from RefSeq and is a predicted model, not a curated record. Lineage: Eukaryota; Metazoa; Chordata; Actinopteri; Syngnathiformes; Syngnathidae. The transcript has 3 exons.
GGCUCUUGCUGAUUCUUUGAGUAAACAACAUCUCCACAGACAGCAGUUUUAUCGUAUUAAGUCAAUAUACCAUUGAAAAUCUGGUCUACCGCUGGUCGAAUUGAUUCACCUGAAAAGAUGCCACCCCUGAGUUGCAUUUCUGGGACCAUCGCCACCUUUGCCCUCCCUUUGCAAGCCAUUGAGUGAGUGGAGCCUCAGGGAGAAGAACAACUCAAGCCUGGCACACAAGGCCAUCCAACACAGUGAGAGAAGGCUGUGAACCGUUACACCCCGUAGCGUGUCAACGUUCUUUUCCUGACUGGAUAUGUCACUCCCUUCCUGAUGUCAGCGCAUGAUGAUGCUUGUUUCAUCACACGUAACAGAUGUUUUUGAAGGAAGAAGA